Molecule: ribosomal RNA, 448 nt
Filed under: uncultured bacterium
Lineage: Bacteria
Description: bacterial SSU rRNA
Rfam family: Bacterial small subunit ribosomal RNA
Source: RNAcentral
CCAGACUCCUACGGGAGGCAGCAGUGGGGAAUAUUGUACAAUGGGCGAAAGCCUGAUGCAGCAACGCCGCGUGAAGGAAGAAGGGUUUCGGCUCGUAAACUUCUAUCAACAGGGACGAAAGAAAUGACGGUACCUGAAUAAGAAGCCCCGGCUAACUACGUGCCAGCAGCCGCGGGAAUACGUAGGGAGCGAGCGUUGUCCGGAAUUACUGGGUGUAAAGGGAGCGUAGGCGGGCGAGAAAGUUGAAUGUUAAAUCUACCGGCUUAACUGGUAGCUGCGUUCAAAACUUCUUGUCUUGAGUGAAGUAGAGGCAGGCGGAAUUCCUAGUGUAGCGGUGAAAUGCGUAGAUAUUAGGAGGAACACCAGUGGCGAAGGCGGCCUGCUGGGCUUUAACUGACGCCGAGGCUCGAAAGCGUGGGGAGCAAACAGGAUUAGAUACCCGUGUACU